This 381-nucleotide ribosomal RNA is filed under the name uncultured bacterium. Its description in RNAcentral is "bacterial SSU rRNA". It matches the Rfam family "Bacterial small subunit ribosomal RNA", at positions 47 to 424 of the family's 1533-position model. The record is from RNAcentral.
CCUAACACAUGCAAGUCGAACGGUAACAGGAAACAGCUUGCUGUUUCGCUGACGAGUGGCGGACGGGUGAGUAAUGUCUGGGAAACUGCCUGAUGGAGGGGGAUAACUACUGGAAACGGUAGCUAAUACCGCAUAACGUCGCAAGACCAAAGAGGGGGACCCUCGGGCCUCUUGCCAUCGGAUGUGCCCAGAUGGGAUUAGCUUGUUGGUGGGGUAACGGCUCACCAAGGCGACGACCCCUAGCUGGUCUGAGAGGAUGACCAGCCACACUGGAACUGAGACACGGUCCAGACUCCUACGGGAGGCAGCAGUGGGGAAUAUUGCACAAUGGGCGCAAGCCUGAUGCAGCCAUGCCGCGUGUAUGAAGAAGGCCUUCGGGUU